UGGGGAAUCUUGCACAAUGGGGGAAACCCUGAUGCAGCGACGCCGCGUGAGCGAUGAAGCCCUUCGGGGUGUAAAGCUCUUUCGGCAGGAACGAUAAUGACGGUACCUGAAGAAGAAGCUGCGGCUAACUACGUGCCAGCAGCCGCGGUAAUACGUAGGCAGCAAGCGUUGUUCGGAGUUACUGGGCGUAAAGAGUGUGUAGGCGGUGCUCUAAGUUCGGUGUGAAAUCUCCCGGCUCAACUGGGAGGGUGCGCCGAAAACUGGAGUGCUCGAGUACGGGAGAGGAAAGCGGAAUUCCUGGUGUAGCGGUGAAAUGCGUAGAUAUCAGGAGGAACACCUGCGGUGUAGACAGCUUUCUGGACCGUAACUGACGCUGAGACACGAAAGCGUGGGUAGCAAACAGG
This 404-nucleotide ribosomal RNA is filed under the name uncultured bacterium. Its description in RNAcentral is "bacterial SSU rRNA". It matches the Rfam family "Bacterial small subunit ribosomal RNA", at positions 355 to 776 of the family's 1533-position model. The record is from RNAcentral.